AGGAAUGAAUGUUCAACGAUAAUUCAGAUGAAUUUAACUUCAUUUUGAAAAUAAGUAUCACAAACACUACUUUGCGGAUCGGCCAUUGGCUUAAGAGAAAAUCAAAAGAAAUCUACGCGAGACAGCGUUUCAUUCAUGAAUAUUUCAUGAAUGAACAUUUUCCCGCACUAUUUUUUACUAUGUACGAUAUUUACAACUGUUUAUUAUCGAAUAAGUAAAAGCCCGAGUG
RNAcentral lists this long non-coding RNA (229 nucleotides) under Mytilus galloprovincialis (Mediterranean mussel). Lineage: Eukaryota; Metazoa; Mollusca; Bivalvia; Mytilida; Mytilidae. The record is from RNAcentral.